GCGGAUGCGGCACUGAAUGAUCCAGGUGGAGACGCAGCGGCGCUGCUCGGUACGUCAGGAGCACGUCAACGGGACCGGAGCGGUGUCUGUCCGGCUGCAUCAAGUUAAGGUUUCUAAUGCCACAGUAGGUCUGAUGGAGAGUAGAGCAGCUCGUUUAUGUGUCAUAUGUUUAGUACUGAUCCGUUAACCUGUUGAUCUGUUUAAUUUCUCUUGUUUUACUGAUGCUUCCGUUGCACUGCAGUCACUGAUCAGAAACGGAAUGUCGUUCUCUUGCGUAUGAAAAUGCACAGUGCUAAUGACAAUAACACCGUUGAACCUUGAACCUUGAUCUGCUAAAUGAGACCCUUCUCUGGCUGGUCCUGGACAGGUUCUGCCUCUUCUAGAAAAACAACAGCUGUCAGGAUAAAUGCCAAAUGUGCACUGAUAUCCAGUAAAGUGCCUGAAAAAAUCAGAUCAGAGACAGACUUAUUGCCAGAUAUAGCUUACACAAUAAGAGGAAUUAGUUCUGGUGGGUUGGUGCAACAAUACAUAUAGAGUAAGGUCCAAUGGACAAGAUAAAAAUAUAAAAAAAAUAACUUUGAAAAAACAAACAAAAAAGUAAUUACAAAUAACUUUAAUGAUGCAAAGCAGAAGCAAAAAAUAUUGUGGAGUGAAGAAUUAAAGUAAAAUUUAAACCAUAAACUGUAGUAUUAUUUACAGAAUAUUGAUAUUGACAUUUAAACAGAUUAUACAGAGUGCAGAUUGAAGGUGUGGAGGAGCAACAUGACCAACAAAUGGUGCACCUGUCAAAGUAGGGUUACAUACACAUUCCUAUAAAUGUCUCUUAUUUCUGAACUGUCUUCAUGGUUUCCAUCACUAUGUGGCCCAGCCUUUGUCCAAGCCGCUGCCUGAGGAGAACACCUCUAGGAUUGACUUUGGAGGUUGCUGCACUGAAUUCUUUAACUCAUCAUCAUAAUGUCUAAGUUGUAAAUGACUGAAAAAGUCCUUGGCACACAAUAGAUGGACAUACGAAUAUACUUUUGGCAGCAGGCACAAAAGCCAUGACAAAAAAGUGGAGGUGUCACGCCCGCUGCCGCUAGGGCCAGGUAGCGGCAGUCCUUUCUCUCUCUCCCUUUUUUCCUCCUUUCUCUCUCUCCCUCUCCUCUAACUAGGUGGGCGUGAGCUGGUGAUGUGCAUGAAGAGAGCGGGAAGGUGAUCUCAAUCCGCUGAUUACGCUAAUGUGCGUUUGCCGCAGCUGCGUCUCAUCAUGAGACCAGCAUUUAAGCCACGACCAGGCCACUAUUCGUCGCCGGACCGUGAACAGUCCUCACCCGGAUCAUCAGCCACUCCGUCAGCCGGCGACUCCUGACAUUAGGAACCGGAUUCUCCACAUGUCACCUGCCCGCUCUUGUCCACCCGUCAGUCCCGACGCCGCUCCACCACUACGGCUCCGUCAGCUCACCAGCACCAGCUCCGCUCACCUUUCACUCCCUGGCGUCCGCUCCCGGUCUCCGCCUGCCUCUCCACCGCAGCCGCGGCCACGCUGAUCCCUCCGCUCCACCUUCCUCUCUCUGGAUUCCCUGGCGUCUGCUCCCGGUCUUAGUCCGCCUCUCCACCGCAGCCGCGGCAACGCCGACCCCUCUGCACCACCUACCCUCCCUGUUCCCCCUCUCUACUCGGUCGGCUCUUGUCAGGUCUGGUUCUCCCGGUGUGGUUUUUGCUAGCCUGAUAAACUUAGCAUUCCUACUGAGCGUCAGUACUCAGCCCGUCUUAUGUAGCGCUAGCCUUAAGACAAUCUUUAUAGUCUGCCCGUCCGUAUGUCGUGUAAAUCUGUAUAGUGCUUUUAUUCUGUCUGUAUGUAGCGUUAGCUUCUGAGACGUCUUUAGUCUGCCUGUCUGUAUGUCCUGUAUCACCCAGUUCAGGAUAAGUCCGCCAGUCUGUGCGUAGCGCUAGCUUGAUUAGAUAGCUUUUUGGUCUGCUAGCCUUUUCUGUUUGAGUUUCCUCGUUAGCACCUUAUGGUGUCCUCCUUUAGUUGUUCCUCUGUUUAGUUCAGUUUUGGUUUCUCGGUUUCCGACUCGGUGGUACUGAGCUUGGGUCCGUGUCUUUAGUUCUUUUGUUUCAGCCAACCUAGUUUAGUUUGCCCUGCCUGCAAACCUUUGAGUUCUGUACUUAUCUUCUGUGUGUUCAAUAAAUCAUUGUUUAUAAAC
Stegastes partitus (bicolor damselfish) is the source of this 2186-nucleotide long non-coding RNA. RefSeq lists it as uncharacterized. Lineage: Eukaryota; Metazoa; Chordata; Actinopteri; Pomacentridae. The record is from RefSeq and is a predicted model, not a curated record. The transcript is spliced from 2 exons.